GGUACCUUUAAUUCAGUCCCGUGAGGCUGACAAGGACAGCGCGUAGAGAAAGAUCAGUGGGAAACGUACACCCUUUUAGAGAAGUGAUGUACCUUUCUCACCAAGAAUCGAGGCUUCUUGUCGGACAAAAACGGCAGGAAGCCUUUUUUU
Non-coding RNA from Halobacillus mangrovi, 150 nucleotides. The record is from Rfam. NCBI's taxonomy places the organism in Bacteria, Bacillati, Bacillota, Bacilli, Caryophanales, Bacillaceae.